AUACUACCAGCAGCAUAUAUACUAAAAUUGGACCGAUACAGAGAUUAGUAUAGCCCCUGCACAAGAAUGACACACAAAUUUGUGAAGCAUUCCAUAUUUAA
Molecule: small nuclear RNA, 101 nt
Filed under: Carlito syrichta (Philippine tarsier)
Lineage: Eukaryota; Metazoa; Chordata; Mammalia; Primates; Tarsiidae
Source: RNAcentral